CAGUAGCCGCGGUAAAACGGAGGGGGCUAGCGUUGUUCGGAAUUACUGGGCGUAAAGCGCACGUAGGCGGCUUGGUAAGUUAGAGGUGAAAGCCCGGAGCUCAACUCCGGAAUUGCCUUUAAGACUGCCGAGCUAGCAGGUGAGAGAGGUAAGUGGAAUUCCGAGUGUAGAGGUGAGAUUCGUAGAUAUUCGGAAGAACACCAGUGGCGAAGGCGGCUUACUGGCUCAUACUGGACGCUGAGGUGCGAAAGCGUGGGGAGCAAACAGGAUUAGAUACCCCCGUAGUCCCUGUCUCUUAUAC
RNAcentral lists this ribosomal RNA (301 nucleotides) under uncultured bacterium. RNAcentral describes it as "partial 16S ribosomal RNA". It matches the Rfam family "Bacterial small subunit ribosomal RNA", at positions 509 to 807 of the family's 1533-position model. The record is from RNAcentral.